RNAcentral lists this ribosomal RNA (254 nucleotides) under uncultured bacterium. RNAcentral's name for it is "partial 16S ribosomal RNA". It matches the Rfam family "Bacterial small subunit ribosomal RNA", at positions 524 to 776 of the family's 1533-position model. The record is from RNAcentral.
CACGUAGGGUGCGAGCGUUGUCCGGAAUUAUUGGGCGUAAAGAGCUCGUAGGCGGUGUGUCGCGUCGGCCGUGAAAACCUGCAGCUUAACUGUGGGCGUGCGGUCGAUACGGGCAUCACUGGAGUUCGGCAGGGGAGACUGGAAUUCCUGGUGUAGCGGUGAAAUGCGCAGAUAUCGGGAAGAACACCCGUGGCGAAGGCGGUUCUCUGGGACGGUACUGACGCUGAGACGCGAAAGCGUGGGGAGCGAACAGG